GCUGGCUGCUGGGGCUGACAGGGCCAAGUCCUUGAGGAGAUCAUGUGUCUGUGAAAAGUACAGGACAAGAAAGCGUUAUCACGUUGUGGACGAACCCCUGACGAAUUACGCUAACGACCCAGGCCUCGCGCUGCAGCUCUGCUAUGAAAUUAAUAUCUAAGACUCAUUUAUGUCCGUGCUAAACGAGCUAACAGAUGCCAAGUGUGUCAGUGGCUGUAUCCUCUUUAGCGGUGCCAGAGCAUUUAGCCAUUAGUCUGCUAAUAGCAUCAGGAUCUCUCUCACGGCGGCGAGGUGAUGAUGAAAUAUUAGCUUAGCUCGAGUCGUUAUUAGUAAGCUGAGAAAUAAAACGAACUCGAUCUCCAAGACUGGAGAUCGAGUUCGUUUUAUUUCUCAUGAAGAGAUCAGAAACAAUGGCUGUGUAUUCAGAUUCAUAUUUUUGUCUGUUCAUUAAUGACAACUAAAGGCAAUUAAUAUUUUUUUCUGUUUUAUGCACUGUAAAAUUCAUUGUAUUUUCUGAUGGGGUUAUAUCUGUUUUUUUUAUUAAUAUUGUGCAAAAUAUUAAUGAUGCACAGCUAAAGUUUUCUGCAGGAACUUAGUGAAGAGCUAUAGGCACUUGUACAAAGUUAACGUUUAAUUUGACUAAAAUCAAAUCUUUUUUUUUUAAAGAUAUAAUCAGAAAUUGAAUUUUGAUGCUUUUCCACACCAACACUCAUUUAUAGGGGCUUACCUUUUCAAAAUGUGUUUGUCUCCAGAUAUUUUGAAUUUGAUCCUAUUGUUUUGUUUUUGCUUGUUUCAAGGCUGGUUGCUCAGUGCUGCUGUGUUUUAUAUGUCCAUUUAAACCAAACAGAGUUUUGAACUUUGUAUCGUAAAUUAGGCCUCAUUAAAAUGUCACUUACA
Long non-coding RNA from Poecilia latipinna (sailfin molly), 897 nucleotides. RefSeq lists it as uncharacterized. The transcript is spliced from 3 exons. Lineage: Eukaryota; Metazoa; Chordata; Actinopteri; Cyprinodontiformes; Poeciliidae. The record is from RefSeq and is a predicted model, not a curated record.